AUCUGGUUUGAACGCAAGAGGGGGUGUUGAAGUUGUUGUUGUCCCACAUUGGUUGUGAAUGGGUCUUGUAUGCUCUGUAUAUUCAUAUAGUCUCCCUCCACCUAUUAGCUUAAACUUUUGGAUUGGACUUUUUGACAUGAGAAUUAUUUAAACAUUUGAAA
Long non-coding RNA from Rhodamnia argentea, 161 nucleotides. RefSeq lists it as uncharacterized. NCBI's taxonomy places the organism in Eukaryota, Viridiplantae, Streptophyta, Magnoliopsida, Myrtales, Myrtaceae. The record is from RefSeq and is a predicted model, not a curated record. The transcript has 3 exons.